UACGUAGGGGGCAAGCGUUGUCCGGAUUUACUGGGCGUAAAGCGCGCGUAGGCGGAACGUUAAGUCCGGUCUGAAAGCCCCCGGCUCAACCGGGGAGGGUGGCUGGAAACUGGCGUUCUUGAGGGCGAGAGAGGAGGGUGGAACUCCUGGUGUAGCGGUGGAAUGCGCAGAUAUCAGGAAGAACACCAACGGCGAAGGCAGCUCGCUAGGACGGAACUGACGCUGAGGCGCGAAAGCGUGGGGAGCAAACAGG
This 253-nucleotide ribosomal RNA is filed under the name uncultured bacterium. RNAcentral describes it as "partial 16S ribosomal RNA". It matches the Rfam family "Bacterial small subunit ribosomal RNA", at positions 524 to 776 of the family's 1533-position model. The record is from RNAcentral.